This 519-nucleotide ribosomal RNA is filed under the name uncultured eukaryote. RNAcentral describes it as "SSU rRNA". It matches the Rfam family "Eukaryotic small subunit ribosomal RNA", at positions 1161 to 1704 of the family's 1831-position model. The record is from RNAcentral.
AGGGCACCACCAGGAGUGGAGCCUGCGGCUUAAUUUGACUCAACACGGGGAAACUCACCCGGCCCGGACACCGGAAGGAUUGACAGAUUGAUAGCUCUUUCUUGAUUCGGUGGAUGGUGGUGCAUGGCCGUUCUUAGUUGGUGGAGCGAUCUGUCUGGUUAAUUCCGAUAACGAACGAGACUCUAGCCUAUUAAAUAGACGUCGGGUUCUCUGCACUCGACGGUCUUCUUGGAGGGACAAGGUGCUUUUAGCACCGCGAAACAGAGCAAUAACAGGUCUGUGAUGCCCUUAGAUGUCCGGGGCCGCACGCGCGCUACACUGAAGGAAGCAGCGUGUAACAACCUUGUUCUAACGAACUGGGUAACCCGUGGAACUUCCUUCAUGAUUGGGAUAGGGGUUUGCAAUUGUGCCCCUUGAACGAGGAAUUCCCAGUAAACACUAGUCAUCAGCUAGUGCUGAUUACGUCCCUGCCCUUUGUACACACCGCCCGUCGCUACUACCGAUUGAAUGGCAGAGUGA